Molecule: transfer RNA, 50 nt
Filed under: Berchemia polyphylla var. leioclada
Lineage: Eukaryota; Viridiplantae; Streptophyta; Magnoliopsida; Rosales; Rhamnaceae
Also listed under: 29 other names
Description: partial tRNA-Leu
Source: RNAcentral
AUUUAUAGUAAAAGGAAAAUCCGUCGACUUUAGAAAUCGUGAGGGUUCAA